GCAGAGAACUGACUUGAGCGUCGGAGGGUCUUGCCGAAACAACUCCACCUUCGAUUUAGACUUCUUUUGCAGGUUCCGACGGUGACCGCGACUCCCUCGACUCCAGUUUCUCCGACGCAGGCGGAUUUCUGCACCAACAAGAUUGGCGCUAGAGGAAGGGCUAUGUCUUCACAGUAUCCUUGUUCUUAAAGGAGCGCUCAACGGGAUCGCCCCUGAUCAUCUUCUCCGACAUCCACUCCUCCUUCCCCCACUUGAUCUUCGCCCGAUGCCUCCCCGCAAGGCAUCCACACGGCGAUCCACAGCCUCUGCGG
This 311-nucleotide long non-coding RNA is filed under the name Elaeis guineensis (African oil palm). RNAcentral describes it as "long non-coding RNA (EGUI_LNC066701)". The record is from RNAcentral. Lineage: Eukaryota; Viridiplantae; Streptophyta; Magnoliopsida; Arecales; Arecaceae.